UACGGAGGAUGCGAGCGUUAUCCGGAUUUAUUGGGUUUAAAGGGUGCGUAGGCGGGAUGCCAAGUCAGCGGUAAAAAUGCGGUGCUCAACGCCGUCGAGCCGUUGAAACUGGCGUUCUUGAGUGGGCGAGAAGUAUGCGGAAUGCGUGGUGUAGCGGUGAAAUGCAUAGAUAUCACGCAGAACUCCGAUUGCGAAGGCAGCAUACCGGUGCACAACUGACGCUCAGGCACGAAAGCGUGGGUAUCGAACAGG
RNAcentral lists this ribosomal RNA (252 nucleotides) under uncultured bacterium. Its description in RNAcentral is "partial 16S ribosomal RNA". It matches the Rfam family "Bacterial small subunit ribosomal RNA", at positions 524 to 776 of the family's 1533-position model. The record is from RNAcentral.